AUUGAACGCCGGCGGAAUGCUUUACACAUGCAAGUCGAACGGCAGCACGGGGGCAACCCUGGUGGCGAGUGGCGAACGGGUGAGUAAUACAUCGGAACGUGCCCGGUCGUGGGGGAUAACGUAGCGAAAGUUACGCUAAUACCGCAUACGAUCUGAGGAUGAAAGCGGGGGACCUUCGGGCCUCGCGCGAUCGGAGCGGCCGAUGUCAGAUUAGGUAGUUGGUGGGGUAAAGGCCUACCAAGCCGACGAUCUGUAGCUGGUCUGAGAGGACGACCAGCCACACUGGGACUGAGACACGGCCCAGACUCCUACGGGAGGCAGCAGUGGGGAAUUUUGGACAAUGGGCGCAAGCCUGAUCCAGCCAUUCCGCGUGCAGGACGAAGGCCUUCGGGUUGUAAACUGCUUUUGUAUGGAACGAAAAGGCUCUGGCUAAUACCUGGGGCUCAUGACGGUACCGUAAGAAUAAGCACCGGCUAACUACGUG
Molecule: ribosomal RNA, 484 nt
Filed under: uncultured bacterium
Lineage: Bacteria
Description: partial 16S ribosomal RNA
Rfam family: Bacterial small subunit ribosomal RNA
Source: RNAcentral